RNAcentral lists this long non-coding RNA (307 nucleotides) under Volvox carteri. Its description in RNAcentral is "long non-coding RNA (VCAR_LNC001408)". The record is from RNAcentral. Lineage: Eukaryota; Viridiplantae; Chlorophyta; Chlorophyceae; Chlamydomonadales; Volvocaceae.
UCGAAGCGAUGUACGUCUGCUCAUUGGAAUGCGUUGUGAAAGUGUGUUCAGGCUCGCCACACGUAUUUAGAUUUCAUUGGAGCAAUGCGGAACGUGUUUGGUUUAAAUCGAAUUGCAUGUGCGAUCGCUUUUGCACGAACCAAAAUUCAGGCGUCACCCCUGCACGAAUCUUCACGAGUUUCUGGUCAGACCCGGGCAUAGAGCGCGUCUUUGACACGUACACGUAAUUGCGCACGAAUGAUAGAUCGUUUUAAUGCGCUUUGGACGAAUGAUCGGCUCCGUUGGGCCCUGCCGGCCGGGAUUUUGU